AAUAAAGAAGUAAAAAAAUUACAUUUAGUUUCGACCUAAAAAUUAGAGUUUAACUCCAUAUUU
RNAcentral lists this transfer RNA (63 nucleotides) under Bactericera cockerelli (potato/tomato psyllid). Its description in RNAcentral is "tRNA-Arg". The record is from RNAcentral. Lineage: Eukaryota; Metazoa; Arthropoda; Insecta; Hemiptera; Triozidae.